CCCCUNNUUUACCAAAACAUCGCCNCNKRUCMCUURRAWAWWNGAGGUCCUGCCUGNCCAGUGACUAUGNUCAACGGCUGCGGUAUUUUGACCGUGCAAAGGNAGCGAAAUCACUUGUYUYUUAAAUGGAGACCUGUAUGAAUGGCUUGACGAGGGCUUAACUGUCUCCCUUUUCCGGUCAAUGAAAUUUAUCUCCCCGUGCAGAAGCGGGGAUAGCUACAUAAGACGAGAAGACCCUGUGAAGCUUUAGACAAAACAAUAGACUAUGUUAAAUUUACACCUCACCGAAUAGAACCCAGUAACCCCUAUUGAAAUGUCUUUGGUUGGGGUGACCAUGGGGAAAUAAAUAACCCCCACGUGGAGUGGGAGAAUAAUUCUCCUGCCACUAAGAACCAUUGUUCUAAGUAACAUUACUUAUGACCAAUAAGAUCCGGAGCCUCCGAUUAACGAACCCGAGUUACUCUAGGGAUAACAGCGCAAUCCUCUCCUAGAGACCUUAUCGACGAGUGGGUUUACGACCUCGAUGUUGGAUCAGGACAUCCUAUUGGUGUAGCCCGCUAUUAAGGGUUCGUUUGUUCAACGNYWAARGNYCWWCNKGANCUGAGUUCAAAACGGG
Molecule: ribosomal RNA, 616 nt
Filed under: Serranus baldwini (lantern bass)
Lineage: Eukaryota; Metazoa; Chordata; Actinopteri; Perciformes; Serranidae
Description: partial 16S ribosomal RNA
Rfam family: Bacterial large subunit ribosomal RNA
Source: RNAcentral